This 900-nucleotide ribosomal RNA is filed under the name uncultured crenarchaeote. Its description in RNAcentral is "bacterial SSU rRNA". It matches the Rfam family "Archaeal small subunit ribosomal RNA", at positions 1 to 908 of the family's 1478-position model. The record is from RNAcentral. Lineage: Archaea; Thermoproteati; Thermoproteota.
UUCCGGUUGAUCCUGCCGGACCUGACUGCUAUCGGAUUGAUACUAAGCCAUGCGAGUCUUUGUAGCAAUACAAGGCAGACGGCUCAGUAACACGUAGUCAAUCUACCCUAUGGACGGGGAUAACCUCGGGAAACUGAGAAUAAUACCCGAUAGAUCAUUAUACCUGGAAUGGUUUAUGGUUCAAAUGAUUUUUCGCCGUAGGAUGGGACUGCGGUCUAUCAGCUUGUUGGUGAGGUAAUGGCCCACCAAGGCUAUUACAGAUACGGGCUCUGAGAGGAGAAGCCCGGAGAUGGGUACUGAGACACGGACCCAGGCCCUAUGGGGCGCAGCAGGCGAGAAAACUUUGCAAUGUGCGAAAGCACGACAAGGUUAAUCCGAGUGAUUCCUGCUAAAGGAAUCUUUUGUUAGUCAUAAUACCACUAUUGAAUAAGGGGUGGGCAAGUUCUGGUGUCAGCCGCCGCGGUAAAACCAGCACCUCAAGUGGUCAGGAUGAUUAUUGGGCCUAAAGCAUCCGUAGCCGGCUUUGUAAGUUUUCGGUUAAAUCUAUAUGCUCAACAUAUAGGCUGCCGGGAAUACUGCAAAGCUAGGGAGUGGGAGAGGUGGACGGUACUCCGUAGGAAGGGGUAAAAUCCUUUGAUCUAUGGAUGACCACCUGUGGCGAAGGCGGUCUACCAGAACACGUUCGACGGUGAGGGAUGAAAGCUGGGGGAGCAAACCGGAUUAGAUACCCGGGUAGUCCCAGCUGUAAACUAUGCAAACUCAGUGAUGCAUUGGCUUGUGGCCAGUGCAGUGCCGCAGGGAAGCCGUUAAGUUUGCCGCCUGGGAAGUACGUACGCAAGUAUGAAACUUAAAGGAAUUGGCGGGGGAGCACCACAAGGGGUGAAGCCUGCGGUUCAAUUG